AAGCACUUUGCUUAGAUUCUUCGGAUGAAGAGGAUCGUGACUGAGCGGCGGACGGGUGAGUAACGCGUGGGUAACCUGCCUCAUACAGGGGGAUAACAGUUAGAAAUGACUGCUAAUACCGCAUAAGACCACAGCGCCGCAUGGUGCGGGGGUAAAAACUCCGGUGGUAUGAGAUGGACCCGCGUCUGAUUAGCUGGUUGGUAAGGUAACGGCUUACCAGGGCGACGAUCAGUAGCCGACCUGAGAGGGUGACCGGCCACAUUGGGACUGAGACACGGCCCAAACUCCUACGGGAGGCAGCAGUGGGGAAUAUUGCACAAUGGGGGAAACCCUGAUGCAGCGACGCCGCGUGAGCGAAGAAGUAUUUCGGUAUGUAAAGCUCUAUCAGCAGGGAAGAAAAUGACGGUACCUGACUAAGAAGCACCGGCUAAAUACGUGCCAGCAGCCGCGGUAAUACGUAUGGUGCAAGCGUUAUCCGGAUUUACUGGGUGUAAAGGGAGCGUAGACGGAUGGGCAAGUCUGAUGUGAAAACCCGGGGCUCAACCCCGGGACUGCAUUGGAAACUGUUCAUCUAGAGUGCUGGAGAGGUAAGUGGAAUUCCUAGUGUAGCGGUGAAAUGCGUAGAUAUUAGGAGGAACACCAGUGGCGAAGGCGGCUUAC
RNAcentral lists this ribosomal RNA (660 nucleotides) under uncultured Lachnospiraceae bacterium. RNAcentral's name for it is "bacterial SSU rRNA". It matches the Rfam family "Bacterial small subunit ribosomal RNA", at positions 59 to 729 of the family's 1533-position model. Lineage: Bacteria; Bacillati; Bacillota; Clostridia; Lachnospirales; Lachnospiraceae. The record is from RNAcentral.